UUUAUUGGAGAGUUUGAUCCUGGCUCAGGAUGAACGCUGGCGGCGUGCCUAAUACAUGCAAGUCGAGCGAAUGGAUUGAGAGCUUGCUCUCAAGAAGUUAGCGGCGGACGGGUGAGUAACACGUG
Molecule: ribosomal RNA, 125 nt
Filed under: Bacillus cereus
Lineage: Bacteria; Bacillati; Bacillota; Bacilli; Caryophanales; Bacillaceae
Description: partial 16S ribosomal RNA
Rfam family: Bacterial small subunit ribosomal RNA
Source: RNAcentral